Molecule: ribosomal RNA, 270 nt
Filed under: uncultured bacterium
Lineage: Bacteria
Description: partial 16S ribosomal RNA
Rfam family: Bacterial small subunit ribosomal RNA
Source: RNAcentral
UGGUGGUCAACAGAGGGAAGCAAGACCGCGAGGUGGAGCAAAUCCCUAAAAGCCAUCCCCGUUCGGAUUGCAGGCUGCAACCCGCCUGUAUGAAGUUGGAAUCGCUAGUAAUCGCGGAUCAGCAUGCCGCGGUGAAUACGUUCCCGGGCCUUGUACACACCGCCCGUCACACCAUGAGAGUCGGGAACACCCGAAGUCCGUAGCCUAACCGCAAGGGGGGCGCGGCCGAAGGUGGGUUCGAUAAUUGGGGUGAAGUCGUAACAAGGUAAC